CGGUGACACUAAAAGAAGAGGAGGCGUCUGAGGACAGCAGUGCCCAGCCCAGGGUUCUGACAUGGAUUUCCCACAGCCUGGCCCACGCUCUCCCCCAGCCGGCAGGACUCGCCAAGCCUGAUAACAAGGUGCGUUCAGCCCCCAUGGCUCAAGGUGUUGCACUGUACUAGCUAACACAGAGAGAGAGAGAGAGAGAGAGAGAGAGAGAGAUGCAAUCCCAACUGUGACAAUGAUAUCAUGUUUCUUUCUUUAUGUUCAGGAAGAAAAUGAGAAAAUCAGGUAACAUUCCUCUGUGUGUGUGUGUGUGUGUGUGUGUGUGUGUGCGCGCGCGCGCGCGUGCGUGCGCGCGUGCGUGCGUGCGUGUGUAGCCUAUAUUUGUCCGUUUUGUGCACAUCUAAACAUAGUCAAUGUGAUUAUUAGUACAGUCCGUGAUUAUCUCUGUAUGAGUUACAUGUCUUUUAUCUCUGGAAAAACAGCAAUCCGGAGCCAAAGUAAGUAAUUAUGCGGAGCAAAAGCUUUUACAUUAGCGCUACAGUAUACCAGGCAAAACUAUAGGUCUAAAUAGCAGAGCCGUUCAGAAAUCCAAGCGAUCAUCAAUCACACUGAUACAUACUGUAAAAAAAGUUAGUCUAAACACUCAUCAGUGAAUGUAAGCAAACCAUUGUUACAUUAUUGGUGCUUUCGGCUUUUAGUGUCAGCAUGGGGGCAAUCCUUUAUCCUUAGGCCAAUGUCCAUAGUAGGCAAUACUAUGCGCAGGGUUUGUAUUUUGGCACUCUCCCUUAUACCUUGUUUGUUUUGGGGGCUCAAAUUCACACAGAAUCACAUAGGCUUCACGUUUGGCUACUAAGCUUUUUUCACUACUGCCACUACUGCUUUUGCUUGACCCUACAGCGCCCUCUAGUGUACAGCAUCUGAGGGAUUCUUGUUCAUCACGGAAAUGUUCUUGGUUAUCCCGUUUUUUACAGUCAAGGUGUGAUGGGCUGGAUUGUCCAAGGGAUUGAAAAAGUGGUGCCGCAGCCAGAUGAGAAGUACAAGAAGCAGCCAGAGCAAGAGGACGACGUGACGGAGGUGCAUUACGUCGCAGAUGUACCAGAUGCUGAGCCUCUCGCCCACAUCCCCGUGGUGGAGGUGGAAUCUGAGCCAGAGGAGGAGGAGGAAAAGCCUCUCCAACUGCAGCCCAGGAUGAUGGAGUGGCUGAAGCAAGGCAUCGAGAAGGUGGUUCCCCGUCCCGAGAUCUACAUCCACGUCCCCCACGAAGGCGCGGCCCAGAGUCAAAAGAAAGCUGAGGAGGCUCCAGCUCCGGCGGGCGACACGGAGAAUGUGGUAGGCUGGAUCGUUGGAGGCAUUGGUCGCAUGCUGCCCCAACCUGUGCUGAAGAAGGACAACAACGAUGGAGUGGAGAACAUCAUCAUAGUCCAGGACCCAUCAGACAUGGUCCUGGAGGAGGUGGACCCAGACUGGGACAAGAAGGAGCGGGUCCAGCAGCCCCCCCAGGAGAACCAGGAGUUGCCGGCGGAAGAUGCGGGGACACAGACUGGCACCAUCGAGGGCCAGGCGGAGCAGUCCAUGUUGGCCCAGAUGGAGGAGCGGCUGCAGCGGGAGCGCCUGGAGGCGGCCCGCAUUGCGGAGGACAUGGCCUGGAGGGCGGCCGAGGCGGCGGUGAGGCAGCUGGAGGAGGAGCAGCGCACCGCCAUCAUCGUGGAGGACCCGCCUCCGGAGGCCAGCGAACAACUGCCCAACAUCCUGGAAGAGGAGAACGAAGACGAACCAGAGUAAGUCAGAUUUUCCUUCAUUAGCCUAUGCCUCACGCCCAGGCACCUCUCUCUCCCCCCCCUCCCCGUUGUCUUUCCUGGGCUAAAAUCUGGCCCACUUCUUCCAAGAGGCACCGAUGUAAACACAGCCAAUGCAACUUCCUGCAAUCACUUGUUAAACCGAAGCUAUGCGUCCAGCUUUCCCGGGGCCCGGGGCUGUGUUCUGCUUGGCCGCGUAGUGCUAGGCUCGUACUGGAAUCAAUUACACCAAACACAGCAAGCAAAGUACUAUCAAUAACUGUUCACCAAAUCGUGUUUCUAAUCAACGUUUGUGCACCAUGCUGUUAGAGAACCGUACACUCCAGUUUAUGAAGGCAUUAAUAACUGCCACAUUCCCCUGUGACCGUUAGUCUUUCUCCUCCCCCAUAGAGUGGCAGUAAAGGGUGCCAGCGAGCUCCUCAGAGAGCCAGCACAGGGAGCCAGAGAGAUAAACAUGGUGGAGAUUAGCAGGACACCGAUGGCCUAAGAGCACCACUAGGGGGCGCCACUGGGUUGAAGCUGAAUUUAAUGGUGGUUGCGGUUGAUUAGUGACUGGUGAUAGAAGAGAGAAAGCUAUUUGUAGAGGGUCGCAGCGACAAAGAGAAAUGAGGCAACUCAAAUCAGUGUCAACGGAAAUAGACCCAUUGCAAAAACUCCCUCUUUCCCAUCCAUUAGCAGCAUUAACAAAGGCCAUUGUGUACCUCACUAGAGCGUCAUCUGACGAUGUGCCCUCAACUAACUGGUGAGAGACUGCUCGCCAAAAGCUAUGCCAAGCAACUGUAUCCGCGCCUUAAAUGGUCAUGAAACCUUACAUUUCUCAUGGAUUUCAGUAAUUUUUACACUCAUAUUUAAUCACAUCUUAUACUCCACGUACAUCAUGAUCGUUUAAAAAAGUAACUUAAUGAAUGAG
Molecule: long non-coding RNA, 2700 nt
Organism: Gadus morhua (Atlantic cod)
Lineage: Eukaryota; Metazoa; Chordata; Actinopteri; Gadiformes; Gadidae
Source: Ensembl